GCAAGUCGAACGAUAUUCAAGACUUCGGUUUUGAUGAAAGUGGCGCACGGGUGCGUAACGCGUAUGCAACCUACCCUUUACUGGGGGAUAGCCCGGAGAAAUUCGGAUUAAUACCCCAUAGUAUCACCAGAUGGCAUCUGAAAGUGAUUAAAGAUUUAUUGGUAAAGGAUGGGCAUGCGUGACAUUAGAUAGUUGGUGAGGUAACGGCUCACCAAGUCUACGAUGUCUAGGGGUUCUGAGAGGAUGAUC
RNAcentral lists this ribosomal RNA (249 nucleotides) under uncultured bacterium. RNAcentral describes it as "partial 16S ribosomal RNA". It matches the Rfam family "Bacterial small subunit ribosomal RNA", at positions 57 to 305 of the family's 1533-position model. The record is from RNAcentral.